CAUUACUGAAAAAGAUUGCCCGUUGCUUUUUCCCUACUCGAGCGCGUCAUAGAGUAAGGUGCGGUACCUCGAGGCGAUUGGAAUGAGACGUGGAGGUUAGUAGUAACCGAUCCUCUCUAAAAUCGCAUGGAGCGCGAGCACUCGCUGACAUACCCGAGAGCCCGCCAGUUCCCCUCCGUCGUGUGUUUAUAUCUAUUUUGCCCUAUGGCCCGCGGGCUUUGUGCCUUUGCGUAUGGGCGGGCGUUCUCUCUCACUUGAUCAGCACUUGCUGAACGAUUUUCCUCCCCUUGGGAGAAUCGAUCCUAUGCCAACUCCCGGACCCCUUGUUUAUGUGUACCCUUCGUUUCCUCGGCAGGCUUGCCUGCCAAUGGGGACUCCAACAAACUCCUUUUGUAGUGGCAGUGUCUGUAGAAUUAUCAAUCUUAUUAAAACUUUCAACAACGGAUCUCUUGGUUCUGGCAUCGAUGAAGAACGCAGCGAAAUGCGAUAAGUAGUGUGAAUUGCAGAAUUCAGUGAAUCAUCGAAUCUUUGAACGCACAUUGCGCCCUUUGGUAUUCCAUAGGGCAUGCCUGUUCGAGCGUCGUUUCAAACCUUCAAGCCUAGCUUGGUGUUGGGUGUUUGUCCCGCCAUGUGCGCGGACUCGCCUCAAAAUCAUUGGCAGCAGACAUUGUAGCUAAUUGCGCAGCACAUACGCGCCUGAUGCUGGAUGUCGGCUCUCCACGANGCGUAGCCUCUUUUCAGUUNGACNUCGNAUCAGGUAGGNAUACCCGCUGAACUUAAGCAUAUCAAUAAGCGGAGGA
Molecule: ribosomal RNA, 800 nt
Filed under: Lindgomyces madisonensis
Lineage: Eukaryota; Fungi; Ascomycota; Dothideomycetes; Pleosporales; Lindgomycetaceae
Description: eukaryotic LSU rRNA
Rfam family: 5.8S ribosomal RNA (bases 430-583)
Source: RNAcentral